RNAcentral lists this ribosomal RNA (301 nucleotides) under uncultured bacterium. RNAcentral describes it as "partial 16S ribosomal RNA". It matches the Rfam family "Bacterial small subunit ribosomal RNA", at positions 509 to 807 of the family's 1533-position model. The record is from RNAcentral.
CAGUCGCCACGGUAAUACGAAGGGUGCAAGCGUUACUCGGAAUUACUGGGCGUAAAGCGUGCGUAGGUGGUGGUUUAAGUCCGUUGUGAAAGCCCUGGGCUCAACCUGGGAAUUGCAGUGGAUACUGGGUCACUAGAGUGUGGUAGAGGAUAGUGGAAUUUCCGGUGUAGCAGUGGAAUGCGUAGAGAUCGGAAGGAACAUCUGUGGCGAAGGCGACUAUCUGGGACAACACUGACGCUGAGGCACGAAAGCGUGGGGAGCAAACAGGAUUAGAUACCCCCGUAGUCCCUGUCUCUUAUAC